Molecule: ribosomal RNA, 496 nt
Filed under: uncultured bacterium
Lineage: Bacteria
Description: partial 16S ribosomal RNA
Rfam family: Bacterial small subunit ribosomal RNA
Source: RNAcentral
AUGAACGCUGGCGGCGUGCCUAAUACAUGCAAGUCGAGCGAACAGAUGAGGAGCUUGCUCCUCUGACGUUAGCGGCGGACGGGUGAGUAACACGUGGAUAACCUACCUAUAAGACUGGGAUAACUUCGGGAAACCGGAGCUAAUACCGGAUAAUAUAUUGAACCGCAUGGUUCAAUAGUGAAAGACGGUUUUGCUGUCACUUAUAGAUGGAUCCGCGCCGCAUUAGCUAGUUGGUAAGGUAACGGCUUACCAAGGCGACGAUGCGUAGCCGACCUGAGAGGGUGAACGGCCACUGUGGAACUGAGACACGAGCCAGACUCCUACGGGAGGCAGCAGUAGGGAAGCUUCCGCAAAGGGCGAAAGCCUGACGGAGCAACGCCGCGUGAGUGAUGAAGGUCUUCGUAUCGUAAAACUCUGUUAUUAGGGAAGAACAAAUGUGUAAGUAACUAUGCACGUCUUGACGGUACCUAAUCAGAAAGCCACGGCUAACUACGUG